GAGGUGGACACCGGAUACGGCUACGGCGGGUAUCCUGAGGAUAUGCCCAUGAAUGGCAUGCCCAUGGAGGGUGAUAUGAUUGAUGACUAUCCCCCCAGCAUGCCCUACCAGUACAACGAGCCCUACUAACAGAUGUGUGAAGAUGAACGGAGAGAUGAGAAGAGCAUGGAGAGAGGGAUCUGCUGAACGAGGGAGGAAGCGUGAGGACGGAGUGGAAGAAAUGCGCCAUUCCUCGUCUUCACCGCUGUAACACGACUCUGAUGUGACGCUCUGUUCUGUUCUGCUCUGCGCUGCGGACGUUAAAUGUUCCUCAACCUAAUGGAUCAUUCUGUGGAGCAAUCACCUGUGUCAAAAUGUGCUGCUGUUCCUGAAGAGGGCCCCAGAGGACUGGAUGUGAAUUACAGAGACCUGAUUGGUCACACCACUGCAUGAUACAAAUGAACACACAAAAAACAUGUUGAUUUGAUUAAAGUAUUUCUCCAGUCAUCUGAAUUUGAGGUGUGGUAGUCAUUUGUUGAUAGGCCUUUCUUUCUUUCAUUCUCAAUGUAACUGUUAAUUUCACAGCUGAUUCAAAUCCCAUGUGUACUUUUGUUUUGUCAUGUGCUCACAG
Molecule: long non-coding RNA, 610 nt
Organism: Clupea harengus (Atlantic herring)
Lineage: Eukaryota; Metazoa; Chordata; Actinopteri; Clupeiformes; Clupeidae
Source: Ensembl